RNAcentral lists this ribosomal RNA (563 nucleotides) under uncultured bacterium. Its description in RNAcentral is "bacterial SSU rRNA". It matches the Rfam family "Bacterial small subunit ribosomal RNA", at positions 338 to 916 of the family's 1533-position model. The record is from RNAcentral.
CCUACGGGAGGCAGCAGUGGGGAAUAUUGGACAAUGGGCGAAAGCCUGAUCCAGCAAUGCCGCGUGAGUGAUGAAGGCCUUAGGGUUGUAAAGCUCUUUUACCAGGGAUGAUAAUGACAGUACCUGGAGAAUAAGCUCCGGCUAACUCCGUGCCAGCAGCCGCGGUAAUACGGAGGGAGCUAGCGUUGUUCGGAAUUACUGGGCGUAAAGCGUACGUAGGCGGUUAUUCAAGUCAGAGGUGAAAGCCUGGAGCUCAACUCCAGAACUGCCUUUGAAACUAGAUAGCUAGAAUCUUGGAGAGGUGAGUGGAAUUCCGAGUGUAGAGGUGAAAUUCGUAGAUAUUCGGAAGAACACCAGUGGCGAAGGCGACUCACUGGACAAGUAUUGACGCUGAGGUACGAAAGCGUGGGGAGCAAACAGGAUUAGAUACCCUGGUAGUCCACGCCGUAAACGAUGAUAACUAGCUGUUCGGGCUCUACGAGCUUGAGUGGCGCAGCUAACGCAUUAAGUUAUCCGCCUGGGGAGUACGGUCGCAAGAUUAAAAACUUAAAUGAAAUUGACGG